RNAcentral lists this ribosomal RNA (269 nucleotides) under uncultured archaeon. RNAcentral's name for it is "partial 16S ribosomal RNA". It matches the Rfam family "Archaeal small subunit ribosomal RNA", at positions 477 to 746 of the family's 1478-position model. The record is from RNAcentral.
CAGCACCUCAAGUGGUCAGGAUGAUUAUUGGGCCUAAAGCAUCCGUAGCCGGCGCUGUAAGUUUUCGGUUAAAUCUGUACGCUCAACGUACAGGCUGCCGGGAAUACUGCAGCGCUAGGGAGUGGGAGAGGUAGACGGUACUCGGUAGGAAGGGGUAAAAUCCUUUGAUCUAUUGAUGACCACCUGUGGCGAAGGCGGUCUACCAGAACACGUCCGACGGUGAGGGAUGAAAGCUGGGGGAGCAAACCGGAUUAGAUACCCGCGUAGCC